AUAGAAGUAGGAAAAUCGAAAUAAGACGCGUUGGUAGGAGACCACAUACAUUUGAACGCCGCCAACAUACAGAAAAUUUAAUGUACCGUACUUACCAGCCUUGAAGGCACCAGAUGAAGGCAAAAUAGAGUUGGCCCCUGAUCGGGCGACUUUUCCCUCCUAUCUGCCUGAUUUACUACAGAUGUAACUUUAAACAAUUUACAAAAAAUUGAAAGUAACUUUUGAACUAUACAGGGCGUCCCAAAAACUGCAUGGACAUUGUUUAAUUUCAUGUAACGUAUAAAAAGCUAUAAAAGCUAUCGCAAUGAAAUAAACAUCAUUAUUAUAUACCAAUAGUCAAAGUCGCAUUUUUCUAGUGUUUUAUUGGUCGAAAACAUAUCUCGUGAGAGAGACGAAAUUAGACUGUUUCCCUCGCGAGAGCGCGAGAGGGAAACAAUACGUUAUCGACCGGCGAAUAAUGAAAAAAAAAAUAACGUGCGCCAUCACGUGAAGGUGCGACCUUUGGACAUGCCUAGUGAUUUAAACUUCCGCUUUUAAUGUUUUAACAAUAAAGUAUUUCAUGUAUUUGCGUUCAUUUGUUCUUCAAUUUGUUGCUUCUUUGACUAUUGAUAUAUAAUAAAACAUUUAUUUACUGAGACCUCGGGAAAGCAGUGUGUUUUGUGGACCCUCGACCGUCGCCUCGGCCUCGCCUCGGGAAACAUCGGCGGUCUCGGGUCCACAAAACACACUGUUUCCCUCGGUCUCAGUAAAUUGAAUUGAAUUGAUUUAAUGACUACUGACUUUGUAACCCAAAAAGG
This is a non-coding RNA of Paramuricea clavata, 797 nucleotides long. Lineage: Eukaryota; Metazoa; Cnidaria; Anthozoa; Malacalcyonacea; Plexauridae. The record is from the annotation of a GenBank genome assembly.